CAAGUAGGCGGAUCAAUAAGUCAGUGGUGAAAUCUCUCGGCUCAACCGGGAAACUGCCAUUGAUACUGUUGAUCUUGAGUUCGGUUGAGGUAGGCGGAAUGUGUAAUGUAGCGGUGAAAUGCUUAGAUAUUACACAGAACACCAAUUGCGUAGGCAGCUUACUAGACCGACACUGACGCUGAGGCACGAAAGCGUGGGGAGCGAACAGGAUUAGAUACCCUGGUAGUCC
This 229-nucleotide ribosomal RNA is filed under the name uncultured bacterium. Its description in RNAcentral is "partial 16S ribosomal RNA". It matches the Rfam family "Bacterial small subunit ribosomal RNA", at positions 568 to 796 of the family's 1533-position model. The record is from RNAcentral.